Molecule: long non-coding RNA, 175 nt
Filed under: Mustela putorius furo (domestic ferret)
Lineage: Eukaryota; Metazoa; Chordata; Mammalia; Carnivora; Mustelidae
Description: lncRNA (ENSMPUG00000031380.1)
Source: RNAcentral
GCACAAGGAAGGUGACCCAUUCUGUCCUCAACUUGACCAAAGGCAGUGGCCUCCAGAACAGAAUAUCAUAGUUGAAGAACCCCAUCCCUGACUCAGGUGGACUUUCAGAUUGUUCUCAGCUGAUUUGGACGAUGUUGAAAAGAGGACCCCUACAAGCAUGUCCCGGUGGGGAAGC